CACUCAGUAGAGGUCGGUCAAAGCCCCUCCCCCUUGUCUCAAGUCAGAUCAGUGAAUACCCUAACUGUCAUCAUAGAGCCUUUCUCCAGUAACUGAUGGAAGCAGAUGCAGAGAUCCACAGCCAAACACCAGGCCAAGCUCCAGAAGUCCAGUCGAAGAGAGAGAAGAAGGAUUCUGUGAGCAAGGGGCAUCAAGAUCAUGAUGGGGAAACCUACAGAGACAACCAAACCAAGCUACUUAGUAAGAACUCAUGAAAUAUAGACCAACACUUGUGGAGCCUGCACAGGACUGGACUAGGCCCUCUGUAUAAGCGACACAGUUGUAUAUCUUGAUCUGCUCAAGGGGCCCCCUGGCAGUAGGGUCAGGAUCCAUCUAGUAGGGUGCAUGAGCUGGCUUUUUGGAGCCCACUACCUAUGGUGGGACACCUCGACCAUCUGACUUUAAUCCCUUGCACCCACGUGGGUCAGUAGAGAGAAAGGAAUCUGGCAAGUUGUUCUCCUGCCUCCACACAGGAGCACAUGUGCACAUAGGCCUAAAACUGGCAAUAAAGUAAGACGGGAUUGACUCGAUUGGCUUACAAGAUGCAGACUGGGGAGUUUGUCAGUGGCCAUCGGCAUGUUGGAGAGACUGGGCACCUGUAGUUACUCGGUCAUUAAAGCGAUCACUGGUCUUCAGUCUACACUGGAAGGCUGCAGAAGCUGGAUUUUGAUACCAGCAAAGGAUGGCAUCAGCGGUGAUGGCAUGCCAAUAAAGACGUGCCAGAUAGCAAGAAGCAAAAGGGGAAAAAACAGCACCUUUCCUCAGGCAUCUUCAUUCCUGGACUGCCCGCUUGGGGGGAGGAAAUUCCUUCAGCCGGUCCUCCAUGGAAAUCCCUCACAGACCUGUCCAGGUGUGUAUUUCAGAGACCACUCCAGCUCCAACCAAGUGGACAGUCAAAUCAAAUCAAAUCAUACUGCGUGAUAACAAAAAAGGUACCUCACAGAGAAUAUGUGGAGAGAAUUCGGUAGUGUACUGACUGCUCCAUGAUACAAUGGAAAAGAGCCUGCAUCUGGGAGAGAAGGGGAUGGGGUGGGAUUAUGUCACUUGUCCUAACCAAACCUUCCUGACGCUGAGAUGACAAUAUAAUUCAGAAAGUUCACACUCAGUCACAUUGAGGGAAUCACACAGCCCAGUCUUGUGGGUUUUGCAUUCCUGGCUGUUUUGCCUUACUUUUCCUUGUUAGGCAUUGAUUUCACCCAGGACAGAACUGCUCAUGUGGAUCUGCUUAUCAUCCAUGGAAUUUACUUUGGAUCUAUUUAAAGGCUGAAUUUAUUUUAUGUGAAAUGCAAUAAGACACAAUUGUCAAAUACGCCUUUGUUCUAUGGCCAUCCUACUGAAAUGCAUGGUUCAUCUUGAAUGCCUCUAUAGUGGCUCGUCUUGAUUGCUCACAUGAUGGAAUCUGGAAUCAAGUAAGAGAUACAGCUCUGUGAGAGGAAAGUGUACUUCUAGAAGGUUAACUAAGCGGGGAGACCCUGACCUAGAGUGAGCAGCACCUUCCAGCACUGACCCGGAUAUUAGGAGGUCUGAGGAAAGAGCAGCACUUCCCGUGCCCUGCCUUCCCUUCUUUCCGGUAAAUGCAUCUACCCCGUUGCUGCUGCUGCUGCCAUCAGAACCCAGCUUCUUGGGCCUUCCGACGUGGACUAAGGAUCAGGGUCUCCAGAAAUCUUCAGCACCACACGGGGACUGCUGAGACAUCCAGCAAUGAAGACUGAGGAACUGCACGGUUCUCACCCUCUCCAGCCUGCAGGUUCUCCUGUAACCCAGGCUGGCCAUAAACUCAUCAUAUAGCUGAGGAUGACUAUGAACUGCUGAUACUUCUGCCUCUACCCAGCACCCGGAGUGUUGGGGUUGCAGAUUUGCACCAUUACACCUGACUCCUUAACUGAUUUCCUAGUCUCUGCUUGAGUCAGUUUGUCCUCAGUCUUCAUCUUCAGACUUUUAGCUCUUACCCACUCCUGGGGUCCCCGUCCUUCUCUGCCUGUUGUUUUACUGUCUGUUUGUCUUGACCUCAUUAGCUUUCAAGUCUCUUGACAGGAGAAAUCAGCUUUAUCUUUACAGCUGCUACAGGCUGUUUAGGGGAUGUUGAACCUACAAACUCAAGAAGAGUGUGCUGAGGACUGAGAAGAGAGCUUAGUUGGUAAGGCACCUUGCUUUGUAAGCAUGGAGACCUCAGUUCCAUCUCCAGAACCCAUGUGAAAACAGGCAGGAGUGGUGAUAUGUACUUAGAAUCCUAGUGCUUACUAGGUAAAAGUAGGUGGGUCCUGGGGCUCACUGGCCAACUGGUCCAGUAUACUUAGUAAGCUCUAGGCCAGUGAGAGACCCUGUAUUAAAUUUUAAAAGGUGGAUGGUGCCUGAGGAAUGAAACCCAAAGUUGCACUGUGGCUUCCACAAUUGCAUAUCCCACACACACACACAUGUGCCAUAUACACCUAUGUGCAUACACACCCACAUGCACAUUUACCUGUAUGUGCACCCGCACACACACACAAAGAUGUGCACACACAAAGUGUGUUGAGUUGCAGUGAAUGGAAUCUUGACCUGCCCUAGCUAGCAGGCCCUCAGCCAGCUUCAGGGUCCAGAACACAAUAGGUCCUUGUAUUCACCACUGUGCGUGCCCACUAACACACACUCAACACUUGCAAAUAUUGGGGAUACUUAGUGACUUCAUUUCGAAGAGGCUUCUCUGGCGGCUGGCCCGGUGCUGGUUAGACAGGCACUGCCUAGGAAGACCCAUCUAUCUCUUCAGUGAAUGACCAAAUUUAUUGUGCCAAAGAACAAAAGACACAGGGGCAAGUAGGUGACGCUCAGUGCUAGAAAUCACUCUCGGACAUACAGAUGAGAGAGAAGUUUGGGCACUGUGAUGGGGAACUGAAGUCUCGUCCUCCUCCUCCUCCUCCUAUCCCACUUCCUCUUCUUCCUCCUUCCCCUGUACCCAACCCCCCACGGCCACAGGGAGCUACAUUGGAAUUCAAUCCUAACCCCCAGGAAGUAGCCUCCACAGCAGGGAGGUCAGGGCCUAUUCCUAACUGGCUCCCACUUCCUCUGUGGGACCUCUCCAAAGACGCCCUGGUAGCAGGACUCUGAGGCAUUUAAUUGAAUACAAAUUGGACUGACGAGUUUCCAGGAAUUUUAGUGGAAAGUUGACUCCCCCCCCCAACCCUCAAGACUUUUCCCAAAUAAUGAGAAAAUUAUUAUUAUCGCUGCUGUUAUUAUUUGCAAAGCCCACAACCUUUAAAAAAAUAUUUCUUAAAGGAACAAGGUCGAGCAAACAACUUUCAGAACAUGCCUGAAAAUCUGCUCUUCCUUACAGUAUUGGUAAAGCUGCUGAUUCGGAAAGAAGGGGGUGGGCUUCUUGGAAGACAGGCAGAGUUGUGAGAUUUGGUGAGUAAAAAUACAGGAUGCCCAGUAGAAUCUGAGUUUCAGGUCAAUGAUGAAAAGCAUGAAGUGUGAGUGUAUCCCGCACAUGGAGUGGGAUAUACUGAUGGUUUCUUUGACAUCCAGGUUUCCCUGGUCAUCUUUUAUUUCACCAGACAGCUCAAAACCAGGAGGCAGAUCAGCAAAUAGAUUCCACCAACAAACAUUUCCUUGGAGGCCCUGGCUUUGGAAGACCCUUCACUCAGCCCAGGAUUUCCCCUGGAGUGUGAGUGGGAGGAUGAGCACUGAUGAAUGUUCUGUCCUUCCCUGCCCACUGCAGCCUGUGGCAAAUUGUGCCCCUUGAACAGCUGCAGAGGAAAGAGCCUUGCCCUGUCAGGAUGGCUUU
This is a long non-coding RNA of Peromyscus californicus insignis, 3799 nucleotides long. RefSeq lists it as uncharacterized. The record is from RefSeq and is a predicted model, not a curated record. NCBI's taxonomy places the organism in Eukaryota, Metazoa, Chordata, Mammalia, Rodentia, Cricetidae. The transcript has 2 exons.